This 411-nucleotide ribosomal RNA is filed under the name uncultured bacterium. RNAcentral describes it as "bacterial SSU rRNA". It matches the Rfam family "Bacterial small subunit ribosomal RNA", at positions 29 to 436 of the family's 1533-position model. The record is from RNAcentral.
AGCGAACGUUUGCGGCGGGCUUAACACAUGCAAGUCGAACGAGAAUCCCUUCGGGGAGGAAAGUGGCGCACGGGUGCGUAACACGUGGAUAACCAACCCAUUGGUUUGGGACAACACCGGGAAACUGGUGCUAAUACCAGAUGUGUCGCAGCUGUCUUCAGGCGGUUGCGAGAAAGGCCCGCAAGGGUCGCCAACGGACGGGUCCGCGUCCCAUCAGCUAGUUGGUGAGGUAAUGGCUCACCAAGGCAAAGACGGGUAGCUGGUCUGAGAGGAUGAUCAGCCACACUGGAACUGAGACACGGUCCAGACUCCUACGGGAGGCAGCAGUGGGGAAUAUUGCGCAAUGGGCGAAAGCCUGACGCAGCCACGCCGCGUGAGCGAUGAAGGUCUUCGGAGUCGUAAAGACUCUGU